Molecule: ribosomal RNA, 445 nt
Filed under: uncultured bacterium
Lineage: Bacteria
Description: bacterial SSU rRNA
Rfam family: Bacterial small subunit ribosomal RNA
Source: RNAcentral
GAUGAACGCUGGCGGCGCGCCUAACACAUGCAAGUCGAACGGCACCCCUCUCCGGAGGGAAGCGAGUGGCGAACGGCUGAGUAACACGUGGAGAACCUGCCCCCUCCCCCGGGAUAGCCGCCCGAAAGGACGGGUAAUACCGGGUACCCCGGGGUGCCGCAUGGCACCCCGGCUAAAGCCCCGACGGGAGGGGAUGGCUCCGCGGCCCAUCAGGUAGACGGCGGGGUGACGGCCCACCGUGCCGACAACGGGUAGCCGGGUUGAGAGACCGACCGGCCAGAUUGGGACUGAGACACGGCCCAGACUCCUACGGGAGGCAGCAGUGGGGAAUCUUGCGCAAUGGGGGGAACCCUGACGCAGCGACGCCGCGUGCGGGACGGAGGCCUUCGGGUCGUAAACCGCUUUCAGCAGGGAAGAGUCAAGACUGUACCUGCAGAAGAAGCCC